This 253-nucleotide ribosomal RNA is filed under the name uncultured bacterium. RNAcentral describes it as "partial 16S ribosomal RNA". It matches the Rfam family "Bacterial small subunit ribosomal RNA", at positions 524 to 776 of the family's 1533-position model. The record is from RNAcentral.
UACGAAGGGGGGCUAGCGUUGCUCGGAAUCACUGGGCGUAAAGGGUGCGUAGGCGGGUCUUUAAGUCAGGGGUGAAAUCCUGGAGCUCAACUCCAGAACUGCCUUUGAUACUGAAGAUCUUGAGUUCGGGAGAGGUGAGUGGAACUGCGAGUGUAGAGGUGAAUUCGUAGAUAUUCGCAAGAACACCAGUGGCGAAGGCGGCUCACUGGCCCGAUACUGACGCUGAGGCGCGAAAGCGUGGGGAGCAAACAGG